RNAcentral lists this ribosomal RNA (253 nucleotides) under uncultured bacterium. RNAcentral's name for it is "partial 16S ribosomal RNA". It matches the Rfam family "Bacterial small subunit ribosomal RNA", at positions 524 to 776 of the family's 1533-position model. The record is from RNAcentral.
UACGUAGGGGGCAAGCGUUGUCCGGAUUUAUUGGGCGUAAAGAGCGUGUAGGCGGCCAGAUAGGUCUGUUGUGAAAACUCGAGGCUCAACCUCGAGACGCCGAUGGAAACCAUCUGGCUAGAGUCCGGAAGAGGAGAGUGGAAUUCCUGGUGUAGCGGUGAAAUGCGCAGAUAUCAGGAAGAACACCGGUGGCGAAGGCGGGUCUCUGGGCCGUAACUGACGCUGAGGAGCGAAAGCGUGGGGAGCGAACAGG